Molecule: ribosomal RNA, 253 nt
Filed under: uncultured Nitrosomonas sp.
Lineage: Bacteria; Pseudomonadati; Pseudomonadota; Betaproteobacteria; Nitrosomonadales; Nitrosomonadaceae
Description: partial 16S ribosomal RNA
Rfam family: Bacterial small subunit ribosomal RNA
Source: RNAcentral
UACGUAGGGUGCGAGCGUUAAUCGGAAUUACUGGGCGUAAAGGGUGCGCAGGCGGUUAUGUAAGUCAGAUGUGAAAUCCCCGGGCUUAACCUGGGAAUUGCGUUUGAAACUACAGAACUAGAGUGUGGCAGAGGGGGGUGGAAUUCCAUGUGUAGCAGUGAAAUGCGUAGAGAUAUGGAGGAACAUCGAUGGCGAAGGCAGCCCCCUGGGUUAACACUGACGCUCAGGCACGAAAGCGUGGGGAGCAAACAGG